GAGAGAUGAGAGGUGUGCAGGAGUCAUCAAGAAUCAUGGGAAGAUGAGGCUCAGGACAAAGCUGUGUGGAAGGCAGCACUGAGGGUCCAUGAUGGAAGGGCUGUGGCUGGGAGACAAGUCAGCAAUCCUUGCUGCUCUGUUUCAUUGUCUGUGCAUGUGGAUGGGGAGGCAGGGGGCAGGAUUAACCUGGUGGUGGGUGUUGCUUGCCAAAGGAAGACUGUGAAGCCUAAUAGUGGCAAGGGAGCUGAGGAUUAAUACACAAAGACAAUCAUAAUAAUAGUUAUGAAAGGGUCAUCAUACCAGAGAUGUCACCUCAUCCCAUGAAACGUUACUUGCAUCAGCUCAGCAUACAGCACUGUACAAGAGGACCAGCUGAGUUCCCACCCCUGGGCUGGUCACCUCAGCUAUGGUCCCAAAGGAAUUCUGAAAAAAAAAUGUGACUAGUUCAUACAUUUAAGUUAAUAUGUAAAAUUGCUCAUCCUAAAUUAAAAUAGUUCCUAAGAAUGUAA
This is a long non-coding RNA of Panthera uncia (snow leopard), 509 nucleotides long. RefSeq lists it as uncharacterized. The transcript has 2 exons. The record is from RefSeq and is a predicted model, not a curated record. NCBI's taxonomy places the organism in Eukaryota, Metazoa, Chordata, Mammalia, Carnivora, Felidae.